RNAcentral lists this ribosomal RNA (375 nucleotides) under uncultured bacterium. Its description in RNAcentral is "bacterial SSU rRNA". It matches the Rfam family "Bacterial small subunit ribosomal RNA", at positions 521 to 896 of the family's 1533-position model. The record is from RNAcentral.
UAAGACGAAGGGGGCAAGCGUUGUUCGGAAUUACUGGGCGUAAAGGGCGCGUAGGCGGUUCUUUAAGUCAGGCGUGAAAGCCCUGGGCUCAACCUGGGAGUGGCGCUUGAUACUGGAGGACUAGAGAGUGGGAGAGGUUGGUGGAAUUCCCAGUGUAGAGGUGAAAUUCGUAGAUAUUGGGAAGAACACCGGUGGCGAAGGCGGCCAACUGGACCAUUUCUGACGCUGAGGCGCGAAAGCGUGGGGAGCAAACAGGAUUAGAUACCCUGGUAGUCCACGCUGUAAACGAUGAGUGCUGGACGUUGCGGAGCUUGCUCUGCGGUGUCGUAGCUAACGCGAUAAGCACUCCGCCUGGGGAGUACGGCCGCAAGGUUG